CCGAUGUAGCUCAGUUGGCCAGAGCACGUGAUUUGUAAUCUCGGGGUCGGGGGUUCGACUCCCUUCAUCGG
This 71-nucleotide transfer RNA is filed under the name pig gut metagenome. It matches the Rfam family "tRNA". From Rfam's summary of the family: Transfer RNA (tRNA) molecules are approximately 80 nucleotides in length. Their secondary structure includes four short double-helical elements and three loops (D, anti-codon, and T loops). The record is from RNAcentral.